AACGAACGCUGGCGGCAUGCCUAACACAUGCAAGUCGAACGAAGGCUUCGGCCGUAGUGGCGCACGGGUGAGUAACGCGUGGGAAACUGCCUAUUGGUGGGGAAUAACGACGGGAAACUGUCGCUAAUACGGCAUAAGCCCUUCGGAGGAAAGAUUUAUCGCCGUUAGAUGUGCCCGCGUCCGAUUAGCUAGUUGGAGAGGUAAUGGCUCACCAAGGCGACGAUCGGUAGCUGGUCUGAGAGGUUGAUCAGCCACAGUGGGACUGAGACACGGCCCAGACUCCUACGGGAGGCAGCAGUGGGGAAUAUUGGACAAUGGGCGAAAGCCUGAUCCAGCAAUGCCGCGUGAGUGAUGAAGGCCUUAGGGUUGUAAAGCUCUUUCGGGUGGGACGAUGAUGACGGUACCACCAGAAGAAGCCCCGGCUAACUUCGUGCCAGCCGCCGCCGUAA
RNAcentral lists this ribosomal RNA (449 nucleotides) under uncultured bacterium. Its description in RNAcentral is "partial 16S ribosomal RNA". It matches the Rfam family "Bacterial small subunit ribosomal RNA", at positions 29 to 523 of the family's 1533-position model. The record is from RNAcentral.